This 153-nucleotide non-coding RNA is filed under the name Fusobacterium ulcerans. Lineage: Bacteria; Fusobacteriati; Fusobacteriota; Fusobacteriia; Fusobacteriales; Fusobacteriaceae. The record is from RNAcentral.
UCUAAGUUUUAUGAUUAAAAGGGAAUUGAGUGAAAAUCUCAAACGGUCCGGCCGCUGUAAUUUAGCAAAUAGCUUUCAGAUACCAUUGGAUGUAUAUCUGAGAAGGAGAAAGCUGUGGUUGAGCUAUAAGUCAGAAGACCUGCUUAGAAAGAU